CUGUUCCCAAGAGAUAAAACUUUAUUUUGCUAUCUGUUUUGAGUGCUUUUCUUUCAUCCGCUCCUUCAAUUUGGAUUCCUUGACCAGUUUUCUUCCGAGGCAAAGGCAUAACGAUUCAUUUCUUCUCCCAUCAGAUAAGUUGUUUCUUCUCUAUCAAGAGCAUUCUUUACUAGUCUAUGUGCAUGCGAGUUCUCUGAUUUACAAAUGUGCUGAAAAAUAAGUUCUUGAAAACAAGAUUUCUUAUUCUGAAUGUCUCUGAUUAAAGCUCCAAUCACUGAUUUGUCUGUUGAGGUCGUCUAAUAUUUUUUUAUUAUUGUUUUAGAGUCCCCCAUGAGUUUAACUGAUUGAGUUCUUGGUGAAAUCCCUAACUUUGUACCCUCUAAACAUGCGUAUGCUUCUGCUGCGAAAGGUCAGGGGACAUUGCUAUGAAUAAUCGUCUUUAACACUAGUAAAUUUCCCCUCAGGUCCCAUCCCACCAGGCCUGUCACUGAUUUGAAGGUUCUUCUGUCGAACACUGCAUCAAAAUGGAUCGUUGUUCUCGGUAUGUCCUCCUGUAUUCUCUAACUUCUGUUCAUUUUUCCAUUUUUCUUCAAAACUUUUAUUCCUUCAUAUUCUACCAUAUGCCUCUGAACGUUUUGUGCUAAAACCCUUCUUGUUGUAUUUUUCCCCUCAUGUAUGAGUUGAUUUUUGGAGAACCAUAUCAGCCAUAAAGCAUAACAGAAGAGUCGACAUUGGUCGUUGUUGUUUCUAUUAAAAACCAAGGGCAUUCUCGGAAGACAUGAAGGCUUUCUUCUGCCCAGAAGCAGCAACGAGGGCAUCUAUCAUUUGAAGUGACUUUCCUGUACCUGAGAUUAGCAAGAUUAGGGAUAUAAUCCCAGAAAAUCUGCCAAAUAGUAAUUGCAAUUUUUUAGGGCAGCUGUAGGCUUCAUAAUUUCUUGUAAUAUUCUUUUAUUUUGGUCUGUAAUAAGUAACUAAUAGGAUUCAAAUUAGCAUCUUGUAAUAGUUUAUAGGCACUGCGUACUGAAAACUCGCCAGAUAAUUCUUCUUUCCAAACUUGAGUAUCCUCGUGCUCAGUCUCUGCAAAAGGGAUCUGUAAAAGUUUUUGAGCAGUUUUCUCUUCGAAGCUGUCUUCCCAGAUAGAAAUGUUGUCUCCUCUGCCCACUCUCCAACACAUUCCUUUUUGAAGAAGUCUCUUUGCUGCCCAGAUACUCUUCCA
Gossypium raimondii (Peruvian cotton) is the source of this 1216-nucleotide long non-coding RNA. RefSeq lists it as uncharacterized. The transcript is spliced from 3 exons. The record is from RefSeq and is a predicted model, not a curated record. Lineage: Eukaryota; Viridiplantae; Streptophyta; Magnoliopsida; Malvales; Malvaceae.